UGGGGAAUAUUGCACAAUGGGCGAAAGCCUGAUGCAGCAACGCCGCGUGAGUGAAGAAGUAUUUCGGUAUGUAAAGCUCUAUCAGCAGGGAAGAUAAUGACAGUACCUGAAUAAGAAGCCCCGGCUAACUACGUGCCAGCAGCCGCGGUAAUACGUAGGGGGCAAGCGUUAUCCGGAUUUACUGGGUGUAAAGGGAGCGUAGACGGCGAAGCAAGUCUGGAGUGAAAAUCCGGGGCUCAACCCCGGAAGUGCUUUGGAAACUGUUUUGCUAGAGUGUCGGAGAGGUAAGUGGAAUUCCUGGUGUAGCGGUGAAAUGCGUAGAUAUCAGGAAGAACACCGGAGGCGAAGGCGGCUUACUGGACGAUAACUGACGUUGAGGCUCGAAAGCGUGGGAAGCAAACAGG
RNAcentral lists this ribosomal RNA (404 nucleotides) under uncultured bacterium. Its description in RNAcentral is "bacterial SSU rRNA". It matches the Rfam family "Bacterial small subunit ribosomal RNA", at positions 355 to 776 of the family's 1533-position model. The record is from RNAcentral.